Molecule: unclassified non-coding RNA, 285 nt
Filed under: Hevea brasiliensis (rubber tree)
Lineage: Eukaryota; Viridiplantae; Streptophyta; Magnoliopsida; Malpighiales; Euphorbiaceae
Source: RNAcentral
AAAAAUCUUAAUUCUUAUGUCUGGAGAUGAAAAAAAAAAAUGAAUAUCUACAUUUUAUGUGUAGACCAAUAAAAGAAGAUGAAAAUAAAUGAAAUGCAGGUUCUAGGGUAAAUUUCAGCAAUUGCCCCAUAACUACGAAUGUUGUAACAAUAAUAUUCCUAAAAAUCAAUUUGCAUGACAGCUCCUUAGAUUUUGAUUAUCACUAAAGCCCUUGUUAAAAUCUGAUUGAUUUUCUGGUGAGAUGCUGAUAUGGAACAUCAUAUUUUACACACACACACACACACA